Long non-coding RNA from Pseudopipra pipra, 2670 nucleotides. RefSeq lists it as uncharacterized. The transcript is spliced from 2 exons. Lineage: Eukaryota; Metazoa; Chordata; Aves; Passeriformes; Pipridae. The record is from RefSeq and is a predicted model, not a curated record.
UUGGUCCUGCCUCGUCCUGCCUCUCCACCCCUCAGAAACCCCUGCUCCCUCGGGUUGCUAUCUGUCCCUGUAGGGUGCUAUCUGUCCUGUCUGUCCCAGAGGGCAGAUCCGAACUGAUCAUCUGGUUUUCCCCCAAAGGGAGUCAGUGCAAUCCUGCUCCUGGCCUGCACUGGGCAGGACACUCCAGCCCAGCUCUUGUAUUGCUGGGGGUCAGGGCUCACCUAGAAAGAAGGCAAUUUUGGAAACACCAGGCAAACCCAGCACAGCUGCUUUGCUGCAUGUUAGGAUCACUGAGAAUUUUUUUCUGGACAUCAGGAGGAAUUUUUUCAUGGAACGGGUUACUAAACAUUGGAACGGGCUGCCCAGGGAGAUGAUGGAGUCACCCUCUCUGGAGGUAUUUAAGGAAAGACUGAAUGUGGCAUUUAGUGCCAAGUUCUAGUUGACAUGGUGGUGAUCAGUCACAGGUUGGACUCAAUAAUCUCAGAGGUCUUUUCCAACCUAAAUAAUUCUGUGAUUCUGUGAUUAAGGCUGUCCUUGGGAUUUCUACUCAAACAGCAGCUUUAUGUUAAAGCAGCUGAGGAAAAGUGGGCUUUGUGAUCUACCAGCAGACAGCACUUUGUGCAUGCUAGCCAGUUCAUUGCAAGAUGCUUAUCACAAUGUUACAUAUGCAUGGAAGCUCUUGUUCUGUCCUUAGAAAGCUUUUUAUGAAACACUGCUAUCUGGUAUUUAAAAAAGAAACAACCAACCAACCAGAAAAAAACAACCAGCCAAGAACUACUGAAAUGCAUUUGUCUUCAGGGUAGGAAAUGAUUGCUACAUGACAAAGAACAGCAGAUCUAUUUGCUGACCAAAAAAUAGAAGGCUGGGCAGCAGCAGCAUUUAUUAGACACACAGACUGAAUUUUCAUUUUGACUAAAUAGCCUCUGCUGACUGAAAUUUUGCUAGGAUGGCAGGAGUGCAGAUGCCUGUCAUAGAAAGAGUGAUAUUACUGAUACCUGAUUAGUGUGUUUCAUUUUUCUUUCAAACAACACCCCCCUACAUUUUUACUACCUGAGGUAGUAUGUGUUGGUAACAGCAUCAAUCUCAUUUUAUGUCUGGAGAAAAUGAGGGACAGCUGUACUGUUUUCUGCUUCCCGGUCUGGUACUUGACUCCAUGAUACAGAACCUAUACUGCUGAACCUAAAGGAGCCAGAACUCCCCCCUCCAAGGUGAGACACAGAUAACUGCUUUCCAAGCAGAAGCAGCUCAGUCAGAAGGCAGUAAUGAAGCUGAGGAGGACCCACCCAGCAGCUCCGGAAAAGCACAGCGUCAGGGGGAGGGAGAAAAUGAAAAAGAGUGAGAAUGUUAUUUUUUCCCCUCUUAGAAGACUUGCUUAGGGAGUGUAAAUACAAUCUAAAAAUGCAUACAGGUUUGAAGAAAGCCAUCUGUUAUGGUUUGCAGUGGGCUGAAAUAGCCAUCAGUUCAGCAGAAAGCAUUUUCUCCUUUACAAAGGUGAAUAUUGAUUCAGGGCAGGACUGUCAAUUCUCACAUAUACACUUCUUCUCAGAGACAAACAUACACCAUUUUUCGGGCAGACGACUGUGACCUUUGUUGUUACAUCUUUUGGGAAGACAGAAAAGGGGAACUGGUUCCUCUCUCACCAAGAAGCCACCAUUCCCACUGUUGCAAGCAGCAAUUUUCAAUUCUCAUGUUACUCCUCCUGGCACUCCUAAAUCCAUCAAGCUGGUAACUUCAUUAUGCCUGUUAUGUGGUCUUGGGUCUCCUGGUUCUGCCUUCAGCUGACACCUUCUCUUCAUUCUUCCCUGUGUUGUAUCUUAAUUUCCUUUGUAAUGUCAUUCAGGUCAUCUGCAUGCUAAUGCAAGAAAGAACAACUGUUCUUUUUCCUCAGCAAACUUGUAAUAUUUUCCUUCUUGAAACCUGAGGAAAAGAGAUGGAAGUUUUUCACAUGCAAUGUCAUCAGCUUCUGUAUUUUAGAAUAACCACAGACAUGAGUAUGAAUUUGAAGUACUCCAUAGCAAGCUGACUUGAUGGCUGCUGACUGGCCAUGCACAUAUCUAAGCUGGAAAUCAGAAGUUUCUAGCUGUGAGAGCAAUCAUAUUAUGGAACACAUCUCCUGCCAGAGGAGUCUAAGAAGAAGUAAAUAAGGCUGAGUGAGUGGAGGAGGAGAAGGGUUUUGGGCGUGUGAUAACGAAAUCUCUCCACACAAAACACGAAUAACUCCCCCCUCCAGGAAGGCCACAUACACACAGGACAUUCACGUGAGAGGAGCUGAGAAGGGGUCAUAAACCAUCAAAGACCCUCAAAGUGCCGUCCAGACUCAUUCCUGAGGCCUUCUACCACCACAGGACUGCACUGUGAUCCAAGGGAUGCAACUAAUCCAGAGUCUGUCUCAAGAGACUGUAAAGCUUGCCCAGGGGAGGUGCCUGGGCAUCUCCUGAAUGUAUAUUAAUCCACUGGACUCUAUGUUUUGCGGGACCCUCACCACCAAGAAGACCAGAAGAACCAGACCGGCAAGAUGCCACUGGGUUCCACAGAGUGGUGAUACAUUUUCUGUUUAAUCUCCAUCACUCUCUUUCUUCCCUCCCCCCACCCCUUUUUUCCUAUUUCUUUCUGUCUCUCUCUCUGCCUCACAUUUACUGUUGAAUAAAAUCCAUACUAUUGACUUCGGCA